GAAUUGAUAAGGAAAAGUCGCUAAAUGCCAUCAAAACCCUCGGUGUCAAAACUCCCCAAUGGUUGCCUGAAAAGUAGCUGAAUUUGUCUCUAGAAUCCUUCACAAAUACAAUUCGCUGGAGAGGUCUGAAAAUAUAGCAGCUAAAUUGACAACACUGGAACUGACUUAAUCGAAUCCACUCGACUAUUGCUGCGCGAGAUACGUAAUCAAUGUAUUUGGGAACCAGGCGUGGCAUUGCCAUGAAAGUGUUGUUCAAAAUGUUGGUACAUAAAAGAAAGAGUCGUCUUUUGUAACUCGUUGUAGAACUUAGGUCAUUUUACGAUUCUCUGAUGGAAAAGAUGCAAUGAGGAUGAGAGGCCCGUAACGUUAACUUCGGGAAAGCAGUGCUAGUACCGUAGUUCUUGCUGUAAAAUUGACUAAUAGAAGUAUAAAGGGGAGGAAUUGCACAUGCAGGAACGCCCUGAAUUGCGCGCCGCAAUCACACCCUUCCUAACAAUUCCAUGAGGAGCGUUUGAAAAAGAAACACUUUAAUUGAACAAUUGAACAGUUGCUAAUUCUACAGGAUUAGCAUUGAAAGCGUGACUAGCGGUGGGGAAAUCAGUACCAGGGACUGCAAAGGGUGAGGGACAACACCAAUAACAUGGGUCACCCCUGCCACAACACCACCAUCAGACUCUGCCAACCCAUGGCCCACCAACACUCAGACCAAACAGGAAAUUCUGGAACUGCGCAGAUAAAACCAGAGGAUUCUGAUCUGGAGAGAGAGGUCUCUGGAGCAGGAGGUGAAGGAGAAGUACCAGUCUAGUGUGUUCCAGCACAGCCUGCAGGACAGAACAGCUGCGCUGGACCUGGAGAGGGUGGCUUGGGAGGCGUGAGAGGGGUCUGGUGAGUGAGUAUAAGGGUGCUCGGACCACAGCCCUGCAGAUUUCUGUGGCCUUGGAGGAGUAGCAGCAGCAGAGACCCUCAGGGAAGAACAACACUCUGAAAGCCAAAGACAAGCUACAGACCGGAGACUCCGUGGUCCUCAGCUCAGAGGACGAUGUAGAGGAGGACGGGGUGGGGCAGUCCAGAGCCAAAAGAGAACUCCCAAAAGUGACCUUCUGCAAAAAGGCCUCACAGCAAGGAGGAGCAUGACAGGAAAAUCAAAUGAAUGGAUAGCCUCGCUCAAAACCGCGUGCUGCCUUCCACUGAAGAAGACUAAAUAACAGGCUGAGUUAUGACCCUAAGUGCUCUGAACUGUAGUACUGGAGAAAGGAGAUUGACCUCUGCUGAUGGUUUUGUAGUCUUGCUAUUGGUUGUGUUUAUAAAGACAUGAAUCAGCAUCUUCUUGGACAAAGCUGUGUAUUGUUUUGUGUGACGACAUAAUGUAAUAUUUUUUACUUUAAUUGUGUCUUUUGAAGUGCUGUUUUGAAAGCACUUAGAACUUAAGAAGCAUUUCAUGAAAAUGAAGUGUGUGUGUGUGCUCUAUUAGGAAUGGAGAGGUCAUGACAAUAAAGAACUCAUUCAAGAGAAUCAGGAGCAGAUUGUGAAAUGUUCAGAUGGCUCUUAAAGUGACCUCAAAAUCCACAGCCAAUCAGCAGCUGCCAUCGGCUGGUCAUUACUGUAAAUGGAAGUCCGGUCUAACUGGUAGAGAUGUUCAAUUUAGUGUUAUGAAAGUAGCUAUGUCCCUUUCUAAGUUCAAUUCUAUAUCCAUUAUGAAGCUGCAGUAGCUGGCUAAAGUAAUGACCAACCAGAAAAACAACCUGAAAUGCAGAAGAUAAAAAUACACAGGUUUAUGUAGGCAUUUGUGAUUAUGAAUAGAAAUUGAAUUAAUUUAUUUUGUUUAACCCUAGUUCCUGCUUGUGUCCCUAGCCAUCAUCUUUUCUUGUUUUCCUUUUACAGAACACCAUUACAGUGUCAUGACAUUUAUUCAGCACUAAUUGGGGCUGAGGCUCGAUCAAGCAUAUCUGUCUGAGGCACAAUACAAACUCUGUUGUUGAAGUGCUAACCAAGCUAUCUACACCUACUUACUGAUGGUAAAAACUGAUGUGCUAGAUGCAUGGUUAUUUUGGCUAGAUGCAAGGUUAUUUUGGCCAGCGUAAAGGCAGUGUGAGUUUGUGUGUGCAGGAAAUGCAGGGUGAUUAAUUUUUUCCCCCAGAAGGCUGUUAAGCAGCAACAAGACUGAUUUAAUGUAUUUUCUGCCCAACAGUGUCCUCAUCAGACUCCAGCAGCUCUAAAGCAUUGUUUGGUUUGGUGCAGAGAGGAGCCCUGACAUAACGUGUAUCCUAUGCAGUUAGGGGUUCCAUUUUUCAUUCCAGUGUCCUCCCUCUCUCAGGUUAUUGUUAUCACAGUGUAUGUUUAACUAUGGCUCACUGACACUGUAAUUACUUUAAUUUAUGUAUUGGUGUUGUCAUGUAUAUGUACACAGAUUGACAUGAAUAGUUUUCUCUGCAUGUUAGUACUAUAAUGAGGAACGUUUCUGUUAUCAAUGUAGGACUGUCUAUUCGGAUUAGGCCUAUAUCUCUAGAGGACUACCAAUCCAUCUAAUUGAGUGGACAACUUUAGAUGAUGGCAAAUACUAUGUACGUACUGAUCUAUAGUAUAAUAACAAAUGUAAUCCCACUGGUGGCUUGCCUCUGAAGCUAAGCAGAGUUGGUCCUGGACGGUCCCUGGAUGGGAGACCAGUGGUGUUAGAGGUCCAGUAGGAGUCACUUUUUCCCCUGGUAUUUUUUCUUUAUCCCAAUGCCCCAGGGCAGUGAUUGGGAACAUUGCCCUGUAUAGGGUGUCGUCUUUCAGAUGGGAUGUUAAACGGGUGUGCUGACACUCCGUGUUCACUAAAGAUCCCAUGGCACUUAUUGUUAGAGUAGAGGUGUUAACUCUGGUGUCCUGGCUAAAUUCCUGAUCUGGCCCUCAAACCAUCAUGGCCACCUAAUCAAAUUAUUUGUCACGUGCCAAAUACAGGUGUAGACCUUUACAGUGAAAUGCUUACUUACCAGCCUUAACCAACAAUGCAGUUUAAAAGAAUAAGAAAUAAAAGUAGCAAAUAAUUAAAGCAGAAGUAAAAUAACAAUAGCGAGGCUAUAUACAGGGGGUACAGGUACAGAGUCAUGCUGGGGCAUCGGUUAGUCGAGGUAAUAUGUACAUGUAGGUAGAGAAGAGUAGCAGCAGUGUAAAGGUGCAAAGCAAAAGUUUGGGUAGCCAUUUUAUUAGAUGUUCAGGAGUCUUAUGGCUUGUCCCCAGCUUCCAAUUGGCUCAUUCAUCCCCCCUCCGCUCCCCCGUAACUAUUCCCCAUGUUGUUGCUGUAAAUGAGAAUGAGUUCUCAGUCAACUUACUGGUAAAAUAAGGGUUAAAUAACAGUUCAAAAGAAACACAAGUACUCUGGAUUCAACUCUUCGAUUUCAUUCCCAUUUCCACCUGCAGCAACAUUUUCAAACGGCAGAGGGCAUUGCUGUCCAGUAACGAUGGCUGACAUGGCAGAUGAUGUCAUGUGAGUCUUUCAGUGGGCUUUAUUUGUUAUUACACUAAGACACUGACACAUGCACAGUAACAAACAAAGUAACAGAACCGCUAUUACUA
Molecule: long non-coding RNA, 3555 nt
Organism: Oncorhynchus nerka (sockeye salmon)
Lineage: Eukaryota; Metazoa; Chordata; Actinopteri; Salmoniformes; Salmonidae
Exons: 6
Source: RefSeq, a predicted model, not a curated record